GCUACUACCGAUUGAAUGGUUUAGCGAGAUGCUCGGAUCGGGCCCAGCUCGUGCGAAAGCAUGUGCCGGAACUGAGAAGAAGUUCAAGCUUGAUCAUUUAGAGGAAGUAAAAGUCGUAACAAGGUUUUCGUAGGUGAACCUGCAGAAGGAUCAAGUUCGGCAGAGCGUCGUGUAGGGUAAGCGUGUAGAUCUCGGUUGUCUCCGUCUCCUUAAUAAAAUACUUUUCCCUCUCUUUUCUUCUUCUCUUCUUCUCUUUUCCUCUUUUCCUUUUCUUCUU
Molecule: unclassified non-coding RNA, 277 nt
Filed under: sea anemone metagenome
Description: partial contains small subunit ribosomal RNA and internal transcribed spacer 1
Rfam family: Eukaryotic small subunit ribosomal RNA (bases 1-156)
Source: RNAcentral